RNAcentral lists this ribosomal RNA (425 nucleotides) under uncultured bacterium. RNAcentral describes it as "partial 16S ribosomal RNA". It matches the Rfam family "Bacterial small subunit ribosomal RNA", at positions 354 to 796 of the family's 1533-position model. The record is from RNAcentral.
GUUAGGAAUAUUGGACAAUGGGCGCAAGCCUGAUCCAGCCAUGCCGCGUGAGUGAUGAAGGCCUUCGGGUUGUAAAGCUCUUUAGUCCACGAAUAUAAUGACUGUAGUGGAAGAAUAAGCCCCGGCUAACUUCGUGCCAGCAGCCGCGGUAAUACGAAGGGGGCGAGCGUUAUUCGGAAUCACUGGGCGUAAAGCGUGCGUAGGCUGUUUUGUAAGUCAGAAGUGAAAGCCCAGGGCUUAACCCUGGAAUUGCUUUUGAAACUACAAGACUCGAAUUCGGGAGAGGAUAUCGGAAUUGUCAGUGUAGCAGUGAAAUGCGUAGAUAUUGACAGGAACACCAGUGGCGCAAGCGGCUAUCUGGACCGAUAUUGACGCUGAGGCACGAAAGCGUGGGGAGCAAACAGGAUUAGAAACCCCAGUAGUCC